This 439-nucleotide ribosomal RNA is filed under the name uncultured bacterium. Its description in RNAcentral is "partial 16S ribosomal RNA". It matches the Rfam family "Bacterial small subunit ribosomal RNA", at positions 339 to 795 of the family's 1533-position model. The record is from RNAcentral.
UUACGGGUUGCACCAGUGAGGAAUAUUGCACAAUGGGGGGAACCCUGAUGCAGCAACGCCGCGUGGAGGAUGACGCAUUUCGGUGUGUAAACUCCUUUUAUAUGUCAAGAAAAUGACGGUAGCAUAUGAAUAAGCACCGGCUAACUCCGUGCCAGCAGCCGCGGUAAUACGGAGGGUGCAAGCGUUACUCGGAAUCACUGGGCGUAAAGGACGCGUAGGCGGGUUGGAAAGUCAGGUGUGAAAUCCUACAGCUUAACUGUAGAACCGCACUUGAAACUUCUAAUCUAGAGUAUGGGAGGGGGAGAUGGAAUUAGUGGUGUAGGGGUAAAAUCCGUAGAUAUCACUAGGAAUACCUAAAGCGAAGGCGAUCUCCUGGAACAUUACUGACGCUAAGGCGUGAAAGCGUGGGGAGCGAACAGGAUUAGAUACCCUUGUAGUC